GACGAACGCUGGCGGCGUGCUUAACACAUGCAAGUCGUACGGUAAGGCCCUUUCGGGGGUACACGAGUGGCGAACGGGUGAGUAACACGUGAGUAACCUGCCCACAACUUUGGGAUAACGCUAGGAAACUGGUGCUAAUACUGGAUAUGUGCUCCUGCUGCAUGGUUGGGGUUGGAAAGCUCCGGCGGUUGUGGAUGGACUCGCGGCCUAUCAGCUUGUUGGGGGGGUAGUGGCCUACCAAGGCGGCGACGGGUAGCCGGCCUGAGAGGGUGACCGGCCACAUUGGGACUGAGAUACGGCCCAGACUCCUACGGGGGGCAGCAGUGGGGAAUAUUGCACAAUGGGCGCAAGCCUGAUGCAGCAACGCCGCGUGCGGGAUGGCGGCCUUCGGGUUGUAAACCGCUUUCAGCAGGGACGAAGCUUUUUGUGACGGUACCUGCAGAAGAAGCACCGGCUAACUACGUG
RNAcentral lists this ribosomal RNA (465 nucleotides) under uncultured bacterium. RNAcentral describes it as "partial 16S ribosomal RNA". It matches the Rfam family "Bacterial small subunit ribosomal RNA", at positions 28 to 507 of the family's 1533-position model. The record is from RNAcentral.